Molecule: ribosomal RNA, 469 nt
Filed under: uncultured bacterium
Lineage: Bacteria
Description: partial 16S ribosomal RNA
Rfam family: Bacterial small subunit ribosomal RNA
Source: RNAcentral
GACGAACGCUGGCGGCGUGCUUAACACAUGCAAGUCGAACGGAAAGGCCCUGCUUGCAGGGUGCUCGAGUGGCGAACGGGUGAGUAACACGUGGGUGAUCUGCCCCUUACUUUGGGAUAAGCCUGGGAAACUGGGUCUAAUACUGGAUAGGACCAUGCUGUAGGUGGUGUGGUGGAAAGAUUAGUUUCGGUAAGGGAUGAGCUCGCGACCUAUCAGCUUGUUGGUGGGGUAAUGGCCUACCAAGGCGUCGACGGGUAGCCGGCCUGAGAGGGUGGACGGCCACAUUGGGACUGAGAUACGGCCCAGACUCCUACGGGAGGCAGCAGUGGGGAAUAUUGCACAAUGGGCGCAAGCCUGAUGCAGCGACGCCGCGUGGGGGAUGACGGCCUUCGGGUUGUAAACUCCUUUCAGCCAUGACGAAGCCCUUGUGGUGACGGUAGUGGUAGAAGAAGCACCGGCUAACUACGUG